Long non-coding RNA from Brassica napus (rape), 740 nucleotides. RefSeq lists it as uncharacterized. The transcript is spliced from 2 exons. The record is from RefSeq and is a predicted model, not a curated record. Lineage: Eukaryota; Viridiplantae; Streptophyta; Magnoliopsida; Brassicales; Brassicaceae.
UGGUGUUUUGGUUCAAGGAAUAAGGACUUGUGGUACCACUUUGCUCAGAAUCUGGUACUUCCUCGGAGUCCGAUAGCUCUUCCUCAGAGUUCGAUGGUUCUUCCUCAGAGUCAGAUGCUUUUAAACUAUCCCCCUGUUCUCCCAUUGAUGGAUCCACGAUUUCACUGUCUGAAACGCCUGAGAAACACACAAAAUGGUGCUUUAGAAAAAGAUAGAGACUAUCCAAUGUUUUAGUUCGUCUUUCACUUUGCUGGGGACGACAAGAGAUUCCAUGUUCUUGGUUUUCUCUAUAUGAACCUGGGCGUUUCUUGCGGUUUCUUCUUGUUCUUUCUUUUCCAUGUGGAACUUAUUGAGCUUCUCCUCAAACUCUUCAAUGCACGCUUUAAGUUCUGGUUUCGCAAACUUCUUUCCCUGCUCAGAUUCACAACCAGAUGCCAAACUCACAUAUAGCACGAGAAGAAUGAAGACAAUGGCAUGGGUGAAAAAAACCAGAGAAACGUACCUUAUUGAUUAUGCUUCUAAAGUUUUCCGUCACUAGAUCCUCUGCUAAAGCGUGCUCGUAGGACUUGAAUGACUCGAUAAGCUUUUUGAUUCCCUUUUCUGUGAACGUCAGCAACGAAAGAGAAUACGAAAUGUAUUCCCACUGUUUUGUAUCUGCAAGUGUAGACGUAGACUUAUAACGCAUAUACUUUCUAUUAAACCCAUAACAAGUGUAAGGAUAUAUUAUCUAUCCAAGUGUA